Molecule: long non-coding RNA, 1015 nt
Organism: Cynoglossus semilaevis (tongue sole)
Lineage: Eukaryota; Metazoa; Chordata; Actinopteri; Pleuronectiformes; Cynoglossidae
Exons: 2
Source: RefSeq, a predicted model, not a curated record
CAGGAAACUAAGUGAGCAUAGCUAACGAUGACGACAUAAUUGACGCGUCAUUAAACUAGUUAAAAAAACUCGAGUUCGUCAAAGCCAAUCAGAUCUCUGUUAGUUGGCCGAGAGGCGGGACACACGACUGAGAUCCAAUCACAUCGACGUUUAUCCGGACGUAGGCUAAACCCGGAUGCUAGGUUGAAGCCAGUAGCGGGAACACUCCGACGGAAAUGUUUGGAUUUAAUUUAAAUUCGUAAAUAGUUUUUGAACAGUUCGUGGAAAAUUACUGUACACCGCGUGGAACGACCGUGAAAAUCAUUUGAAGAGUUGUCGUCGUGAAACUCAACGCUAAGCAGGGGGCGGGACCCGCAGCUCCAUGGAUGCCAGGUGCUGACGUUGAAGAAGAAGAGUGGAGAAGGAGAAGGAGAAGUUUGGAUCAUCUCACUCUGUUGUAAGUCACACAUCUUAAAGCGAUCAAUAACAGUCACAGCAGGAGGUCACACUGGUUUACAGUGAUCCACAGACACGUGUCACAUGGUACGUUUUUAAUUUUUUAAUCCAGUCAGUCAUUGGUAGAUUAAACAAAAACAAACAUAACUAAUAUUUAACUUAAGCUGUGGCUCAGCAGCAGGAUGCGUCCAACCACCGAUGGUCUGAACAUGUGACCAUCACUAAAUAGAUGAUUGACGUUUGAGAAGUAAAGAAUUAAACAUUAAAGUGGUGCAUUUUAAGCCUUUUAUUAUUAUUUUUUUAUCAUGCUUGGACGACCGCGGAAUAGUUUGUCCGUUUAAAGUUUGACCGUGGAGACCAGUGUGUCUGUGAUGACAGUCCAGGGUCAAAGGUCAGGUUGAAGCUGAGGCUGUAGGUGAGAUGUUAAAAUGUGCCUUUAUUCUGUCACCAUUUAUAGACUGGAUUUAAUCAGUGCCUGAAGACCGAGACAGUAACUGUUGGUUCAUCUCCAGUCCACCGUUAGAUGGUGCUGUUUCUCCUGUUCUCCAGCGUCACAUCUUAUGAUGUUGUUUCUUGUUUA